Molecule: long non-coding RNA, 465 nt
Organism: Folsomia candida
Lineage: Eukaryota; Metazoa; Arthropoda; Collembola; Entomobryomorpha; Isotomidae
Exons: 2
Source: RefSeq, a predicted model, not a curated record
UUUUAUUUGUACUCUUCUGACCCAGUGACACAGAAAAAAGUUUCAACGGCGAAAAAAUUGAUUUAUUUUGGGUUUCGCGUGGGGAGAGAGAGCGUGCGGGAUUUAGGCUUCGCAGUGUUUUUUCAUCAAGAAAUGAAAAUAGUUCCGAAACAGGCAAGGGGGCAGAUUGAGACGGGAAGAUUUUUGUGGAGCAUUUCAUCCGUGUCGAGAGUUUAGUUCUCGAACUCACGCCAAAAGAUGCUCGGUCUCUUGAAAUUAUUUGUAUGAUACAAAUGCAACUUGUAUCAUGCUAAAGUGUGAUACGAACCACUGCAUUAAAAUUAACCCGACCAGUGUAUAAUGCGUAUUUGUGGUUGGUUUGAUAGUCGAAUAUCAGGCAAGUGUAGAAUAAUCGUAUACUGUAGAGUUCUGCAAUAAAGCCAUGAAAUAAUACAUGAUCUAUGAAUAAAACGCUAUAAAACAUUA